CUACGGGAGGCUGCAGUGGGGAAUAUUGGACAAUGGGGGCAACCCUGAUCCAGCAAUGCCGCGUGUGUGAAGAAGGCCUGAGGGUUGUAAAGCACUUUUGUAGAGGAGGAUGGUGAGCAAGGUUAAGAGCUAUGUUCAUUGACGUUACUCUAAGAAUAAGCACCGGCUAACUCCGUGCCAGCAGCCGCGGUAAUACGGAGGGUGCAAGCGUUAAUCGGAAUUACUGGGCGUAAAGGGUGCGUAGGCGGCCUGGUAAGUUAGAAGUGAAAUUUUGGGGCUCAACCCCAGAGCUGCUUCUAAAACUGCUGGGCUAGAGUGCAGGAGAGGAAAGCGGAACUCCACGUGUAGCGGUGACAUGCGUAGAGAUGUGGAGGAACACCAGUAGCGAAGGCGGCUUUCUGGACUGUAACUGACGCUGAGGCACGAAAGCGUGGGGAGCAAACAGGAUUAGAUACCCUAGUAGUC
This 465-nucleotide ribosomal RNA is filed under the name uncultured bacterium. RNAcentral describes it as "partial 16S ribosomal RNA". It matches the Rfam family "Bacterial small subunit ribosomal RNA", at positions 339 to 795 of the family's 1533-position model. The record is from RNAcentral.